UUGAUGCUCGUGACUUUGACCCAUACCAAGACCUUGGUCUUCAUUCCAUCUAUCCCAGUGAGCUUUCCCCUUGACAGAGUUCCUUUGACGCGAGUAGCAUACCGCAUAACAGAUGAAUCCUUGACGCAGACCUCACAGGCUGAUGGCAGGUAGACAAUGAGCUUUCCAUUCGACUGGUCAAACUCAUAGCAUAUUAUGUUUUGGGGAAAAAGACCAGGAGGCAGGUUGUAUUCUCGCAGGAGAUCCGGCAAAGAUUUUGUAGGCUUGCCUAGCAAAUUACAGAAUUAUCUGCAUCAGAUUAGGGUGCUAGAGGUUGCGGAGAAUAUGAACUAAAAAUUGCAUCCUUGAGAUAAAAUUAUAAACUCCAAUGGACAACUGCCUAUUCCACAUCCUUUAAUGCCAAAGCUAUCAUAUAUGGAUGCGAAUUAUGUCAACCCAAAAUGUAUUGGCCUCAGACCCCCUUAGGAUUCAACAACAAGUUAUAAUGUAACACACAAGUUAGCUGGAGUAAGCAGCAAUGUGCUGCAACAAGUUCAUGACAGCAAAUUUCAUCGUAUGAAUCAAUAUGGUGGUGCUAAAACAAGGCAAGGAUCCACAUUUUGGGACCAGAUUGUGCUAUGCAUUGAUGACUAGAUGCGGCACUGUUUUUUGAGGGAAUCCUUAUCCACUUUUUUGUUACACCCUCCCCCUCACGUGCUCACUCGUUUUCCGCUUUAUCUAUUAUUGAUUCGGUUUUUUAUUUUUUAAAUAUGUAAAAUCAAUAAGAUAUUUUCUUAUUGAUUUUCAAUUUGUCGGUUUUGAAUCAUUAACGGUUCAAUUUUCGGUUUCACCAGUAAGAAAAUACACAUAAAAUAGAAAUAGUAACAACUAACAUAAAAAAAAAAAUCUUAGUUAUCGUCAAAAUCCUACGCAAUGCAUUUUAGUUUACAAGAAUGUUCAGACUUGAAUUGAAUGUUAGUUUGAAAAAAAAUUGAAUCCUAAUUGUUGGAAGCUACUAAAUGCUUCAAGCUUUUCAAUACGAUAAUACUCGUGAUUUAUAUUGGGUUUUUGUUGCCCUGAAUAGGUUAAUAUUUUGUGAAUCACAGAACUGUGGAUAAGUAGUGUAUAUAACACACACACACAUAUAUAUUACAUAAAUAGGGGAAAAACAGUAAUUUAGUGUAUCUUAUUGGGUUAUUGGUUUAAUCAAUAACCCAAUAAACUAAAAUCGAAACCGAACCGUUUACCCAAUAAAUUUUUUUAUAAAAUUAAUAAAAAACCGUUAACCCAAUACCGAUAACCCAAUAACAUUUUUAUCAGUUCGGUUCGGUUCGAUUUUUGCACCCCCUCUACACUCGUUCCCCAUUUUAUUUUAUUUUUGGAGAUUUGGCGUUAUUUAACGCGCGACAAAAUUGAGAUUUUCACUCAGAUAAAUUUAAAAUAUGGAUAAAUUAAAGAGAAUUUAGUAUUUAUUAUAUAUUAUAGAUAAUAAUAUUUGCAUAAAAAAUAAUAAUUAAGAUCGAAAAAUAUUGCAAUAAUUUAUAGUAUUUGAUUUAAUAUAUGAGUAUUAUAAUUUUUAUGAUAAUUCUUGCUCGACUUGUAUUGGAAUUCAAAGAAUUUUUGGGAUUGAUUUUAGAUUUUCGUCUUUGACUUGAUUUAUAUUUGAACUUGGGUAGUUGAAUGUUUGAACUUAUUUGUGAGGUUUGAUGUGCAAGCUCUCUCUGAUUUUUUAUUAGAAUUCUGUGCUUCUUUUUUGUUUUAAAUUAUAGAGACCACUCUUUAUAGUUGUAGAAUGGAAAAAUUGUGAUGACGACGGACUUCUUUCGAUUAAUUGGAUUUACGUGAUAAGUCGAAUCAUGUCAUUCGUACACAGUGACACAUUUAUAUUGAUUUUUUAUUUCACUAGGCAGAUUGCCUCAUUUUGAUACAUGACAUUAUUCUAUUGGCGCUUUUCCUUAACUUGACAUGCCAUGUCAUUUGAUACGUGACACCAAGUUCGUCUCUAAUAUAAGAUGACAUUUUGAAAUUAACAAAGUGAACUUAUAAUUACUGAUUAAAAUUUAUAAAAAUUGAAGUUAUUUUGAGUUGUUAUGAGGAAUUUUUAAUUAGUUAAAAGGGUCUAUUUAGGAGUUCAUUUCCUCAACAAGAGCCUGCACAAGUGAUCCCACAAGCGGGUGAUGAAGACAGGAUGUAAACAGAUCUUACUUCUAUCUUUUCAGGAUAAAGAGGUUUGUUUAUGCUAAACCUCGGUUCAAGCGAAAUUUAACAUAUUAUCACGGUUCUAGAUCACAAACUUAACUACAAAAAUUUAAACGUGUUCAAUAAUAAUCUUACCUUGUGAUUAGCCAUUUUUCCAAAUUCUGUACAUAGCGAAAGCUUUAAUGUACCAACUGCACUUUUUAAUAAUCUUACUAGCCAUCAACUUAAUGAUCUAAUAUGUUGGAUGGAGAUAAAAGAUCACAAGGCAAAAAAGCAAUUACUGAGGGGGCUAAAAAUGUCUAGUAGAUGUAUCAUCUAUGAACAUGCACAUUGCUUGCUCUAUAAGUUGAAUAUACCAGUGAACUAAAUCAUAACAACAGCAGUUUAAGGACCAUUAAUCCAUCAUCAACUUCGCCAAAAAAUUUAAAAUUUGAUAUAUUUACGUUCUUUUUGUCGAAACCUCAAAAUUCUUCAACUUUAACAGCAUCACGAGGCAUUUCAUAUGCAUCUUUGGACCUUGAUUUCUUCACUCCGGCAUUGAACCACACCUUAUCGGACUUGUAGCUCUCAACGUUGAUGCUCGUGACUUUGACCCAUACCAAGACCUUGGUCUUCAUUCCAUCUAUCCCAGUGAGCUUUCCCCUUGACAGAGUUCCUUUGACGCGAGUAGCAUACCGCAUAACAGAUGAAUCCUUGACGCAGACCUCACAGGCUGAUGGCAGGUAGACAAUGAGCUUUCCAUUCGACUGGUCAAACUCAUAGCAUAUUAUGUUUUGGGGAAAAAGACCAGGAGGCAGGUUGUAUUCUCGCAGGAGAUCCGGCAAAGAUUUUGUAGGCUUGCCUAGCAAAUUACAGAAUUAUCUGCAUCAGAUUAGGGUGCUAGAGGUUGCGGAGAAUAUGAACUAAAAAUUGCAUCCUUGAGAUAAAAUUAUAAACUCCAAUGGACAACUGCCUAUUCCACAUCCUUUAAUGCCAAAGCUAUCAUAUAUGGAUGCGAAUUAUGUCAACCCAAAAUGUAUUGGCCUCAGACCCCCUUAGGAUUCAACAACAAGUUAUAAUGUAACACACAAGUUAGCUGGAGUAAGCAGCAAUGUGCUGCAACAAGUUCAUGACAGCAAAUUUCAUCGUAUGAAUCAAUAUGGUGGUGCUAAAACAAGGCAAGGAUCCACAUUUUGGGACCAGAUUGUGCUAUGCAUUGAUGACUAGAUGCGGCACUGUUUUUUGAGGGAAUGGAGGGGAAAGAGAAGCAGCAGUGACUAUUUAUCUCUAUAUAUGCAGAAGCAAAUAGAAGUGGCCACUGCUUAUUCUUAGUGGAAGUUAUUUUCUUUCAGAAUAAACCAUUUUUUGUCAUCCCUGAUAGCCAAAGACUUGAAUGUGAUACUUAAGACUUUUUUGAAGUUCAUAAAAACUGCUUAUUUAACUAUAUGAAUACAUAUGAAGUCAUAGGCGGACUUGGAAAUGCAGAGUUGAUUGAAGUAAACACAUAC
Molecule: long non-coding RNA, 3665 nt
Filed under: Capsicum annuum
Lineage: Eukaryota; Viridiplantae; Streptophyta; Magnoliopsida; Solanales; Solanaceae
Description: long non-coding RNA (CANN_LNC004036)
Source: RNAcentral